This 897-nucleotide long non-coding RNA is filed under the name Betta splendens (Siamese fighting fish). RNAcentral's name for it is "lncRNA (ENSBSLG00000020285.1)". The record is from RNAcentral. Lineage: Eukaryota; Metazoa; Chordata; Actinopteri; Anabantiformes; Osphronemidae.
GAUGACUAUUGCCUCAUCUGAAUGGGGAGUUGAAUGCUAGUUUGAAAUGCGUGAAAAGUUGAAGAGGAGCACAAGACAGAGAUCAGGAGAAAGGAAAAUACAGUGAGUCAUCCUCUGAAGAACAGCAAAUGGCGACCCUGUUUACUGAGCUUGGUCGUGGCUUUCACCCCUAACCCUGUGGUUCAGCAGUCUGCACGGCAGGACCAGAGCUCAGCUGGAUCAAGACGUGCAUCAAGCCAGCCGUGGUAAAAGGUGCCAUGCCAAGUUGAGAAGUUUACAGAGGACUACAAGUGAUAGGCAAGUCUGCCAAGGGUACCAGGCACCCCAGCGGGCAAGAUCAAAAACAACAACAAAAACACUGCCUCAGCUAGCUCUCCUGUUCAGUGCAGAAAUCUCCAGAGUGGGUGAGCUGUGAGUACACAGCAUUAGAAAGUGAUCUUCCCACCCAUGCUGAUAUUUAGCCAAAUAGACUUAUUAUUCAGGGAUGCUUAAGAAAGCAGGGAUGUGGCAAAUUGUCAUAUUAUAAUUUAGGUCUUUAUAGCCGUAGUUCCCACACCCGGUUAUUCAUAGUUCAGGCUACUAUAUCAGCUGUUCCAUGGUUUUGUAUUGAGCUUAUGCAAUGCAAAAUUUCCAGUAAAAACAUUUUGCAGGUAUAGUUUAAUAGGAAAUUGUUUCAAUUGACUGAGGGGGGAAAUUAGCAAAGAUGAGAAACUGCAGGGUUUUUUUUCUUCUUUUUUUUCUUUUUUUCCAGUAUCAAAUCAGGACAAUCAGACCCUAACCAUUCAAACUGCAGACAUAUGAACCAUACCUGUGUUUGGUAGGUCAAGAGUAUUUAUUUUUAUCCUAAAAUUACAAGACCUGGAUAAGGAAAUAAACACAACUCACAAGGAUUAAGCA